RNAcentral lists this small RNA (28 nucleotides) under Bombyx mori (domestic silkworm). RNAcentral's name for it is "ovarian small RNA-18006". Lineage: Eukaryota; Metazoa; Arthropoda; Insecta; Lepidoptera; Bombycidae. The record is from RNAcentral.
UAAAAAGUGUGGCGUCAGCAUUGCUGAA